UGCCGAAGCACCGUCGCUCCGCAGAAUUCGCGUUUCUCGCUAUUCGCUCGAGAUAAUCGCGCCAUAAAUAAAUUUACGGGUAAUAAGAGUGAGAGUGAGAUGCGCAGGAAAAUUUCCCGAGCUUCCGUAACAGAUUAUAGGCCCGAGACACAAUCUUGCUAGGCAAUUACGAGAGGAACUUGUUCAGGAGAUCUUUCAACAUAAUCGUGUGGAGACUGCUGACACCGUUCGAGCGUUUAAGGUUAUGUCCUGCAGGUAUUGUUUAGGCUCCUUUUAACCUGGUCAUUUUUUGGCGAAUGGGAGGGCGAAUAAAAACGCCCCUGUGGAUCUGUAGCAGCAGAGAAACACCACCUGUAACAUCUUGCACGAUAGACGCGGCCCGAUAUCUCGAAUCUGAAUCAUCCUCGCUUUUAAUUACGGUGUUCGUCUGCUAAACAAUUAUCCCCGAACGACGGCGAGCGGUUCCGUACGCGCGCCGCUAUCGUCCCUUCUUUUAUUUCGCCAACGCGUGUACGUGGCCCAUAGACGGGGUGGUUAGGGUCGGCGGAUCGAGAGCCACGUCUCAUGUAAUUUUCAUCGAGUGGGUGGAUACCCAUUAUUUCGCAUUACAGACUUCUUACGGGGCACGGAUCGUCCCGUCGAAUCGCGGGCCCCUAUCGCGACUUCGCGUUACGUUCGCACGUCCACCGACCUGUUAACGUUUUCUCGCGUCGGCGACUUUCGAUCUUCUCGCCGAGAGGCUGAGAGGGAGGGAUAUAUAAAAUUCGACGUCUGUAUGUGACAUUCCUGUGACUUCCAUUA
Long non-coding RNA from Hylaeus volcanicus, 801 nucleotides. RefSeq lists it as uncharacterized. The record is from RefSeq and is a predicted model, not a curated record. NCBI's taxonomy places the organism in Eukaryota, Metazoa, Arthropoda, Insecta, Hymenoptera, Colletidae. The transcript has 3 exons.